Molecule: long non-coding RNA, 630 nt
Filed under: Callithrix jacchus (white-tufted-ear marmoset)
Lineage: Eukaryota; Metazoa; Chordata; Mammalia; Primates; Cebidae
Description: lncRNA (ENSCJAG00000086731.1)
Source: RNAcentral
ACUUCUAAUUCUGACUGAGGUUUCCUGGUGAAGACCUUAGAUUCAGCUGAGGAGGGUACAGAGCAACAAAUGGUAGAUGAAUUCAAAUGCUGGAUGAGAGGAAGUCAAACUGGAAAGCCUACUAUCGCCAAAUGGUCAAGGACACAGGCAUUGGCCUACUUCACCUGAAGAUGAUGAGGAUGAAGAUGAUCCACUUCCACUGAAUAAAUAGUAAAUACAGGAGCUGAGUGUGGUGGCACAUGCCUGUAGUCCCAGCUACUCAGGAGGCAGAGAUAGAAGGAUUGCUUGAGGCCAGAAGUUCGAGUCCAGCCUGAGUAAGAUAGUAAGAACUUUCUCUCUUAAAAAAAAAAGUAUUUAAAGUAUAUUUUUUAUUCUUUAUAAUUCUCUUAAUGUUUUCUCUAGCUUACUUUAUUGUAGAAAUACAGCAUAUAAUAUAUAUGACAUGCAAAAUAUGUGUUAAUUGACUGUAUUAUCAGCAAGGCUUCCUGUCAACAAUUGGAUAAUAGUUAAGCUUUUGAGAAGUCAAAAGUUAAACACAGAUUUUUGAUUGUGUGUGUGCGGGAUUGGCAUCCCUAAUCCUCACAUCGUUCAAGCAUCAAACAAUAUUUUAAAUCAUUUCUAGAGUACUUA